UACGUAGGGUGCGAGCGUUAAUCGGAAUUACUGGGCGUAAAGCGUGCGCAGGCGGUUCGUUGUGUCGGCGGUGAAAGCCCCGGGCUCAACCUGGGAAUGGCCGUUGAAACUGGCGAACUGGAGUGUGGCAGAGGGGGGUGGAAUUCCGCGUGUAGCAGUGAAAUGCGUAGAGAUGUGGAGGAAUACCGAUGGCGAAGGCAGCCUCCUGGGAUAACACUGACGCUCAUGCACGAAAGCGUGGGGAGCAAACAGG
RNAcentral lists this ribosomal RNA (253 nucleotides) under uncultured bacterium. Its description in RNAcentral is "partial 16S ribosomal RNA". It matches the Rfam family "Bacterial small subunit ribosomal RNA", at positions 524 to 776 of the family's 1533-position model. The record is from RNAcentral.